Molecule: long non-coding RNA, 795 nt
Filed under: Glycine max (soybean)
Lineage: Eukaryota; Viridiplantae; Streptophyta; Magnoliopsida; Fabales; Fabaceae
Description: uncharacterized LOC100527871 (LOC100527871)
Rfam family: MIR396 microRNA precursor family (bases 183-304)
Source: RNAcentral
CUACACCUUUUCUCUCUCUUAGCUUAGCCUUCUCCUAUUCUGGACCUCUGUCCCUUCCUCUUGAUUAGGGUUCUAAUUAUGUUAUGAACCUUCCAUGCUUUUAUUUUUCUUUUAAAAAAAGAAUAAAGAAAACCCUACAUAUGGGUUUGUGGGGUAUAUUCAGUCUUCAAUAUCAUGGCUCUCUUUGUAUUCUUCCACAGCUUUCUUGAACUGCAUCCAAAGAGUUCCUUUGCAUGCAUGCCAUGGCACUCUUACUCCCAAAUCUUGUUUUGCGGUUCAAUAAAGCUGUGGGAAGAUACAGAUAGGGUCAACAACGGACUAGCUUAUCUCAAACUCCAGAUUCUUCUCUAAAUCUUCCUAUCCAAUUAUAUAUAGGGAUAAAAUUAUUGCAAAGUAUUUUUUUUCCUUUUUCUUUUGUGAUUUGACUUAAUUUAAAUCAUUUUCAGAUUUAAACCAUCGACUUUUCAGAUAUAUCUCUAUAUGUGAUCAGAAUUCUCAGAUGCAGUAUUAUGAGAGAAUAAACUUGUACCAAUUGGGUAGAUUUGUGACGAUGAUGAGGAAGAGGAUAUGAUGAUUCCCCAACAAUUUGGCUUCUUUCUGGAAUUAAACCGAUCAGCAAUUCCAGGCUUAAACGAGAGGGGAACAUAUGGUGGUGGUUAAUUUGCACACGAAGUGAUAAUGCAUCGUAUAGGCAUAGCCGUUUGAUUUGAAAACACUUUUCCUUUUAAGUGUUCUAGUUAGCUAGUCCUGUCUGUGCUGAAUAUAAUAAUUAUAAUUUUAAUAAUUUCUGUGUUA